GCCGUUGUAGCUCAGGGGUAGAGCAACUGAUUCGUAAUCAGUAGGUCGGGGGUUCAAAUCCCUUCAACGGCACCA
Molecule: transfer RNA, 75 nt
Filed under: Dongia soli
Lineage: Bacteria; Pseudomonadati; Pseudomonadota; Alphaproteobacteria; Rhodospirillales; Dongiaceae
Also listed under: 1 other name
Description: tRNA-Thr
Rfam family: tRNA
About the family: Transfer RNA (tRNA) molecules are approximately 80 nucleotides in length. Their secondary structure includes four short double-helical elements and three loops (D, anti-codon, and T loops). Further hydrogen bonds mediate the characteristic L-shaped molecular structure. tRNAs have two regions of fundamental functional importance: the anti-codon, which is responsible for specific mRNA codon recognition, and the 3' end, to which the tRNAs corresponding amino acid is attached (by aminoacyl-tRNA synthetases). tRNAs cope with the degeneracy of the genetic code in two manners: having more than one tRNA (with a specific anti-codon) for a particular amino acid; and 'wobble' base-pairing, i.e. permitting non-standard base-pairing at the 3rd anti-codon position.
Source: RNAcentral